This 208-nucleotide ribosomal RNA is filed under the name uncultured bacterium. RNAcentral describes it as "partial 16S ribosomal RNA". It matches the Rfam family "Bacterial small subunit ribosomal RNA", at positions 1292 to 1500 of the family's 1533-position model. The record is from RNAcentral.
UUCGGAUUGUAGUCUGCAACCGACUACAUGAAGCUGGAAUCGCUAGUAAUCGCGAAUCAGAAUGUCGCGGUGAAUACGUUCCCGGGUCUUGUACACACCGCCCGUCACACCAUGGGAGUCGGAAAUGCCCGAAGUCAGUGACCUAACCGAAAGGGAGGAGCUGCCGAAGGUGGAGCCGGUAACUGGGGUGAAGUCGUAACAAGGUAUC